UACGAAUUGAAUGCAAAAUAAAAUAGCACCAAUCACAAAUUCCAUAGAACCGAUAAGUUUUAGUUUUAUUAUAAAAUAAAAUUAUACUAAUUACAUUGAUUGUGAAUUUCAAAGUAUUUGAUUAAGCUUUUUAUCGGUAUUCACUCUCUCUCUUCAAUUAUAACCUACCAAAUCUAUUCCAUAGAAAUCACUCUUCCAUCUUCUCCAUUCACAGACUGUGGAUGAACUAGGGUUCCAUUGUAGGUUCUGAUUUCACCGACGGUGGCUUAAUGGCGAGGACGAAGAAUGCAACGACGAAAGGGUAUGCGGAGAAACAUAACCCAUUCUCACUUUUUCAUUUGCUGGAGAUUGUGAAGGCGCCGAUCUCAGGUUUUUUCAGAGACGUAAUGACGAAGACGAAGGGUGGUUUCGGAGGUUCGUAGCAGUGGGUUACUUGUUGUUUAUAGUUGUUUAAGAUUCGUAAUAGGGGUUUGUUUUUAUUGUGGAACCCAUCUUCAAUCUCUAAAAAUCUCUUAAGGUUCUUCGAUUUUUGUCAAUAAUCGGUUGAUUAGUUGUAGAAUUAGUUAGAUUUUUGAAAGUUCACAGUGUCUUUAAACGAUUGUAAAUUUCUUGAAUUGUUAUGAAAAAAUCGAUUCCCUACGUGAAGAAUAUGUUAGAUUUUUGUGGGGUUUUUGUGUAUA
Molecule: long non-coding RNA, 680 nt
Organism: Salvia miltiorrhiza (redroot sage)
Lineage: Eukaryota; Viridiplantae; Streptophyta; Magnoliopsida; Lamiales; Lamiaceae
Exons: 2
Source: RefSeq, a predicted model, not a curated record